Molecule: long non-coding RNA, 332 nt
Filed under: Nicotiana benthamiana
Lineage: Eukaryota; Viridiplantae; Streptophyta; Magnoliopsida; Solanales; Solanaceae
Description: long non-coding RNA (NBEN_LNC005639)
Source: RNAcentral
AAAAUAAUAGAGCAUUAGUAACUCUAGCAGAAGUAGCGUAAAUAAUUAUCUAAACAAAAGAAACAUAAAUACAAUCGCAUGCAAUAAUAUCAUACAGUAACUACCAUAACUAACAGCCAUAGGGGGACAUAAGCUAAGCUAAAACACAAGUCAUCUAUGGGUAACCCUGCUGACCCACACUCAACCCCGGAGGAGGCGUACGAAAAACUCUAGGAGCCCCUAUCCUACAACCCUGAUUCUAGACCUCCAGACUUUCCUAUCAAGGGUCAUGUGCUCGGAAACCUGCAUUCUAGCCAUGUCCUGCCUAAUCACCUCUCCCCAAUACUUCUUAA